This 750-nucleotide small RNA is filed under the name Trametes sanguinea. RNAcentral describes it as "eukaryotic LSU rRNA". The stretch from base 215 to 368 matches the Rfam family "5.8S ribosomal RNA". The record is from RNAcentral. Lineage: Eukaryota; Fungi; Basidiomycota; Agaricomycetes; Polyporales; Polyporaceae.
CAUGCGAGAUGGACAUUAACGAGUUCUGAAAGGGGUUGUAGCUGGCCUUCCGGGGCAUGUGCACACCCUGCUCAUCCACUCUACACCUGUGCACUUACUGUAGGUUUGGCGUGGGCUUCGGGGCCUCCGGGUCUUUGAGGCAUUCUGCCGGCCUAUGUAUCACUACAAACACAUAAAGUAACAGAAUGUAUUAGCGUCUAACGCAUCUAAAUACAACUUUCAGCAACGGAUCUCUUGGCUCUCGCAUCGAUGAAGAACGCAGCGAAAUGCGAUAAGUAAUGUGAAUUGCAGAAUUCAGUGAAUCAUCGAAUCUUUGAACGCACCUUGCGCUCCUUGGUAUUCCGAGGAGCAUGCCUGUUUGAGUGUCAUGGAAUUCUCAACCCACACGUCCUUGUGAUGCUGUGGGCUUGGACUUGGAGGCUUGCUGGCCCUCGUCGGUCGGCUCCUCUUGACCGCAUUACCUUGAUUCCGUGCGGAUCGGCUCUCAGUGUGAUAAUUGUCUACGCUGUGACCGUGAAGCGUUUGGUGAGCUUCUAACCGUCCUGUAUGGGACAUACCUCUUGACAUCUGACCUCAAAUCAUGUAGGACUACUCUCUGAAGAUAAGCUUAUCCAUAAUGACCAAGGAAGGAACUCCGCUCCUCGUCUGGCUUUGUCCCUUAAUAAAAUAAAAAAUUAAAAACAACAAAAGAAUAGGUUCAGGAACGAUUGUAAUAUCAUUAAAAGGUGGCUGCAAUUUCUAACUUUUAAG